CCGGCCGAUUGGGACCUGGCAACGCGCGAGGAUGAUAUCGUCGCCCUCAGCUUGCGCCGGGAGAUUCGUAGCUAAUAUAGCGUCAGUUCAAUACGCGUUGGAUUUUCAUAUCCGCACCUCGCAUACGCGGCUUUAUACAAGGCCACCACGAAACCAUACUGAACUCGCAUUUAACCUCAUUUAUUAGCACGGUGCAUGGUAGCUAGCCGUAUGCUCCUGUAGAUCUUCUCCAUCCUCUGGAUCUUGUGCAUCUCAGGCAGCAAAAUCGGCCUCUCCAGCCAUCUCAUGACUCCACCUACCCUCUCUCUCUCGCUCAUGUACAUGACGGUGGGGAGAACGGGGGCGGCCGGAGGCGGCCGGAGCCGGGAGCACGACGAAGCAACGGAGAGGGAGGCGAAGAGCUCGCUGGCUUCAUCCUCUCGGUCGACGAGGAGCUCGCCGAAUAGGCUAGCAUACCCAGCGCCGGUAAAAUCAUGGCUUCGUGCUCAUGGCCUGAUUCGCGGAAGUUCCUGUUCGCCCAGAGAAUCUCUGCUUCGCUGUUGUCCUGCCCAGAUCCAUAGCAUCUGGACAUCUUGGUUCCAAGCCAGGAAAAAUGGCCAUUGUUUCAUGCGCUGGGUUUCUAGAGAGAUCUAUCAUGGCCAUCCCAUAUCUGCUCGAAAUUUGCCCGUUGAUGAUUAUCCACUAAACUUGUUCUAAAUUAUUGAUGAAAUCAUGUUGAUUCUUGGGGUUGUUUGGUGGAUAAUUUUGAGUUUGGGGAAGAUGAUAUUCCAUUGAAUUUAUUUUAAAUUAUGGUUAAUGACACAAUUAACUGUGAUACCGGUUCAUGUCGGUUUUGGAAAUUCAGAGACCACUGAUGUGUGCAUGCUGAAAGUUGUAUUCAGAUUGAAUGAAUGUUGAUUUAGAAUUGAGCUAGAUGAAGCUAUUUUCAUUAUGAGAAAAGAUCCUUGUGCUUU
Lolium perenne is the source of this 953-nucleotide long non-coding RNA. RefSeq lists it as uncharacterized. The record is from RefSeq and is a predicted model, not a curated record. NCBI's taxonomy places the organism in Eukaryota, Viridiplantae, Streptophyta, Magnoliopsida, Poales, Poaceae.